This 776-nucleotide ribosomal RNA is filed under the name uncultured Neocallimastigales. RNAcentral's name for it is "partial large subunit ribosomal RNA". It matches the Rfam family "Eukaryotic large subunit ribosomal RNA", at positions 23 to 626 of the family's 3401-position model. Lineage: Eukaryota; Fungi; Neocallimastigomycota; Neocallimastigomycetes; Neocallimastigales. The record is from RNAcentral.
UAGAGAGAGACAUGCGCGCAUAUCAAUAAGCGGAGGAAAAGAAACUAACAAGGAUUCCCUUAGUAACGGCGAGUGAAGCGGGAAGAGCUCAAAUUUGAAAUCUUCAAGGUUUUACCUUGACGAAUUGUAGUUUAAAGAAGUGUUUUCUGCUGAAGUUUUGGUAAAAGUUCUUUGGAAUAGGACAUCAUAGAGGGUGAGAAUCCCGUAUUUGACCAUUAUUUUCAGCUUUGUGAUACACUUUCAAAGAGUCGGAUUGUUUGGGAAUGCAGUCCAAAAUGGGUGGUAAAUUUCAUCUAAAGCUAAAUAUUGGCGAGAGACCGAUAGCGAACAAGUACCGUGAGGGAAAGAUGAAAAGAACUUUGAAAAGAGAGUUAAACAGUACGUGAAAUUGUCAAAAGGGAAGCGUUUGACACCAGUGUUGUUUUCUCGAAAAUCAAUUAAACAUGGCUCGAUUUUGUAUUGCUUGAGACCUUAAAAGCUCACUGUACAUUUUUCGUGUCUUUUUUAAUGCACUUUUCGUUUAACAAGUCAACAUCAGUUUCUUUUGUUGUAAAAGGGUCAUUGGAAGGUGGCUUUCUUUUCGGAGAAAGUGUUUAUAGCCUUUGGCCUCUGCAAUCGGAGAGACUGAGGUCUGCAGCGUAGACUCUUCGGGGUUAGAUACAUUUGUGCUAAGUUAUAGCUUUUUAUAGACAACUUGUUGACUAUAAUUAGUCUUGUAGCUUACUCGCUUAUGCUAUUUUACCUACGCUUAGGAUGUUGAGUCGUAGAGCACGCAG